GUUAACCCCUCAGAGACCGGAGGCUGAGAUGUGGGUUUUUCUAUCCCCUUGUUCUGCCACUACAAGGAGUUUCAGGUGGGAGCUGUGGAGGAAGAAAGUGGUGGCAGAGAAGAUUUCAAGACUGCAGCGAAGGAUUGUAGGCAUUUCUGGCUUUGGAACUACAUGUUUCAGCUCUGCGGUUGCUGGCUACACCAACCUCCACAGUGUUUGUUGUUCUUUUAUGUGUUGCUUGGUAAAUGGUCUGUAUUUAUAUAGCUUUACUAUACCGGAACGAUACCCAAAGCGCUUUACAUUAUACAUCACAUUCACCCAUUCACACACUGAUGGCGGAAGCUGCCAUGCAAGGCGCUAACCACGACCCAUCAGGAGCAUUUAGGGGUUCAGUGUCUUGCUCAGGCACACCUCGACAUGAGCUCUCCAGGCGAGGAUCGAACCGGCAACCCUCCAGUUACAAGACAGCCACUCUACCCGCUGAGCCAUGCUGCCCCCAUAUGCUUAUCUGAUUUCUACCUGCUAUCCCUUUUGUCUGUCCUUUAACCUCAACCCAACCAGCUGAAGCAGAUGGCUGCCUUCCUUGAGCCUGGUUCUGCAGGAAGUUUCUUCCAGCUAAAGAGGAGUUUUCUUCUGUCACCAAAGAUCUUGGUCAAAGAGAGUAUUUGGACUGUGCUGAGCUUCUCUCCAUAAUUUUGUAAAGUCCUCAUCGAACUCUGUGAAAUGCCUUGAGAUUAUACAUGUUGUGGAACUGAGCAGGGAUCCAGUGGAGGUGACUAAGGAGGAAUGUGAUGUGAUCGAAGGAAUUACUGCGGGUGACGAACCCAACAGCAGGAUUUUAAAUGAUUUGGAAUUGGUGGAGAACUUGAUUGGAAAUACCAGAGUAUCACUUUGCAGUAAUCAAUGCACAAUGUAACCAGGGUGUGAAUAAGAACUAACUAAUCGAUCGAUCAGCUAAUUACUUCAGGCCUAAUCCAGAUCAAUCUGUAUACACUACAGUGGUGCUAGAGGAUUUUACCCCAAUUAGUGGCUCUCAUUUGAACUGUGUGCUUUAUCAGAGGAAAGGAAGGCUGAAUUUAACAACAUGAACAUGGCAGCAGUGUCCAUAAUGGUUCCUGCUAACUUGACAUUUAACCUAAAAUACCCUUUGCAUGCUGUUUGAAUUGAAGGUUACUAAGUUACUUCUAAGUUUAAGAGGUCAUGCAGUGUUGCCGGUGUUUUUGUAAGCAACGUCACCUAGCUGAUAGUUAACACAACCUGUUGUCAUGCUGCUAUCGCUGUUCCAAUGAAAAACAGCACUGAGCAUUAUUCAACAUUCACACAUGGCUUUCAUUGCCACAUAACAUUUCACAGCUCCUCACCCUUCAGCUAGUUGCAUUCCUGAUCCACAUGCUAAUGAAUGAAACCCCAGGAUUGAAAUUCCCACUGCGGUGAUUUUAAAGAGAACAACCUUUUCGGGCGUAGAUAGAUUAGCUGAAACAGCUUGUUUUCUGUUCAUCUAAUAGUCACAUCUAGUGAGCCGUCCUGUCCCUGCUGAGUCUGCAAACAGAUGUAUCAUCAAUAGAAGGAAUGCAGACCCUAAUCGACACUAAAGGUAAAUCACCAGCAGUAAUCACUGACUACACUGAAACGUUGAAGGAUAAAGUCCAUCCCAGUGUUCACACAAUGUGUCUGAAUGAUAUUACACUGUUAAACAUUCUCACAGUAAAGAAAAGCAGGAAAAAAUGUUGGUCAAAGGUGGCUUGUAGAAAAGGAUCAAUUUGGAGAAAGAAAAACAAACAGGACUCCAAGCAGCUGGUCUGGUUCCAUCUCCAUGGCAGAGACAGACCAGAGAUAGACUAGUGGCUUUUAGCAUCAUGGUCUUAAUGAUCCCUACCACUGUGAGUUGACGGAGCUGGUGAGCUCUAGUCUCUCUCAGCAUGGGAUUUAGUGCUGAAAGGCUUCGACGUCAGCACCCCAACACUCCAUCAGUAACAUGCAUUUAAUGCAUUCUAGGAGGAAAACUCCUUUGAAACAAUGGGAACCUUGGUGGCAUAAAACAAUCUUUAUUAUUGAUAAAUCUACUGAUUAUUAUUUUUUGUUUGAUCAGUCUGUAAGAAAAAAAUGAAAAAAUAUCCAAAUAUCCAUUGCCCAAACCAAACAUUUGUUUUGUCAGAUCACCAGUUCAACACCAAAUAUCUCGUAUUUUCACUUGAAUUAUCAGAAUAGAUAUCGUUUCUUUAUCUGUCUGUGAACUGCUUGGUUAACCAACUAAAUGCGUCAGCUGUAGAUGGCUUUAAAAAAAGCAAAAUACAGUAAUAAUUAGCAACUGUUAUUUUAAAAAAAAAAUCUCAAGUAGAACAUCUGCUGGGAAAAAGCAUCCAUAUAUCGUCUACUACAUGCUCUUGUUUUUCUCAUUUCUUGCUUUCUUAGCUGUUUUAGUCAUUUCAUUGUUGUUCUAGAAAUCAAUGUGCCCUUUCUUCAACUUGUCUGUACUAUUUUUGCCUAUUUUAAUUUAAUUAAUUACAUUUCUAUCAUUUAUAUACAUGUUUAAUUUAAUUUCUUCUUUUUUUUACAUUUGCAUGUAAAGCACUUUUAAUAACCACUGAGUAAGGUACUAUAUAAAUAAACUUGCUUGCUCCAUUUGUUUUACAUGCAGGAAAUUGACAGAUGUUCUAGAUUGGCACAAAGAACAUGGUUGGGGUGAGCAUGUGUCUUUUUGGGAACUUCUCUUUUAUCUCUAAAAGAGAAGUCUAGUUGCUUUUUAUUGAAACUUGUAGAACUACCAUGACCUGGUUGACUGAGAAUCUACACAGACACUGGUAUCACUGUGUUUUGCCAGUAAUUUUAGAACUGACUUCCACAACACCUUGCAGUCAGUUCUUCUUGGGUCUUCUUCGCACUGGGAUCUGUAUUUUAUGUAUUUUUAGGUCUGGAUGGUUUCAACUCUUCUACCAUGAAUCACAGUUGGAUGAAGGUUCAUCUUUUCCCAGUGAAAUGCAUCUAACCAGUGGACUGAGUUGUGAUCUAGCUUGAAUUUAAGAGACUGUAAAGAUGCAUACUAACAUUUGUGACAGUUGUUUUGAGUGUUUAUUUUAACAUCAGUGAUCUUGUGUAUAUGCCGUUUAUUCAUAAGAUCUAUCUUAAGCUUAAUGAGAUUUUCUGAAUAAAUGAAACUUAACUACAUCAAGAUCAAAAACAACUUUCCAUCGUAAUGUUUACACCAACGUGGUGCUUGUAAGGCGUUAAAAAAAAUGCAAUUUCCAACUCUGUCUGCUCUGGAUCCCGUUAUAUAUUUGAAAGUUGUGGGACAGCAGUGUAAAUAAAGCCUGUGGAGCUAUUGUUUUCCUA
Molecule: long non-coding RNA, 3321 nt
Organism: Amphiprion ocellaris (clown anemonefish)
Lineage: Eukaryota; Metazoa; Chordata; Actinopteri; Pomacentridae
Exons: 2
Source: RefSeq, a predicted model, not a curated record